GGGGCUGUGGCUCAGUGGUAGAGCACUCACCUAGCAUGUGGAAGGCACUGGGUUUGAUCCUCAGCACCA
Molecule: transfer RNA, 69 nt
Filed under: Ictidomys tridecemlineatus (thirteen-lined ground squirrel)
Lineage: Eukaryota; Metazoa; Chordata; Mammalia; Rodentia; Sciuridae
Description: Spermophilus tridecemlineatus (thirteen-lined ground squirrel) tRNA
Rfam family: tRNA
About the family: Transfer RNA (tRNA) molecules are approximately 80 nucleotides in length. Their secondary structure includes four short double-helical elements and three loops (D, anti-codon, and T loops). Further hydrogen bonds mediate the characteristic L-shaped molecular structure. tRNAs have two regions of fundamental functional importance: the anti-codon, which is responsible for specific mRNA codon recognition, and the 3' end, to which the tRNAs corresponding amino acid is attached (by aminoacyl-tRNA synthetases). tRNAs cope with the degeneracy of the genetic code in two manners: having more than one tRNA (with a specific anti-codon) for a particular amino acid; and 'wobble' base-pairing, i.e. permitting non-standard base-pairing at the 3rd anti-codon position.
Source: Rfam by way of RNAcentral